Molecule: ribosomal RNA, 1434 nt
Filed under: uncultured bacterium
Lineage: Bacteria
Description: bacterial SSU rRNA
Rfam family: Bacterial small subunit ribosomal RNA
Source: RNAcentral
AGAGUUUGAUUCUGGCUCAGGAUGAACGCCGGCGGUGUGCCUAAUACAUGCAAGUCGUACGCACUGGCCCAACUGAUUGAUGGUGCUUGCACCUGAUUGACGUUGGAUCACCAGUGAGUGGCGGACGGGUGAGUAACACGUAGGUAACCUGCCCCGGAGCGGGGGAUAACAUUUGGAAACAGAUGCUAAUACCGCAUAACAACAAAAGCCACAUGGCUUUUGUUUGAAAGAUGGCUUUGGCUAUCACUCUGGGAUGGACCUGCGGUGCAUUAGCUAGUUGGUAAGGUAACGGCUUACCAAGGCGAUGAUGCAUAGCCGAGUUGAGAGACUGAUCGGCCACAAUGGAACUGAGACACGGUCCAUACUCCUACGGGAGGCAGCAGUAGGGAAUCUUCCACAAUGGGCGCAAGCCUGAUGGAGCAACACCGCGUGAGUGAAGAAGGGUUUCGGCUCGUAAAGCUCUGUUGUUGGAGAAGAACGUGCGUGAGAGUAACUGUUCACGCAGUGACGGUAUCCAACCAGAAAGUCACGGCUAACUACGUGCCAGCAGCCGCGGUAAUACGUAGGUGGCAAGCGUUAUCCGGAUUUAUUGGGCGUAAAGCGAGCGCAGGCGGUUGCUUAGGUCUGAUGUGAAAGCCUUCGGCUUAACCGAAGAAGUGCAUCGGAAACCGGGCGACUUGAGUGCAGAAGAGGACAGUGGAACUCCAUGUGUAGCGGUGGAAUGCGUAGAUAUAUGGAAGAACACCAGUGGCGAAGGCGGCUGUCUGGUCUGCAACUGACGCUGAGGCUCGAAAGCAUGGGUAGCGAACAGGAUUAGAUACCCUGGUAGUCCAUGCCGUAAACGAUGAGUGCUAGGUGUUGGAGGGUUUCCGCCCUUCAGUGCCGGAGCUAACGCAUUAAGCACUCCGCCUGGGGAGUACGACCGCAAGGUUGAAACUCAAAGGAAUUGACGGGGGCCCGCACAAGCGGUGGAGCAUGUGGUUUAAUUCGAAGCUACGCGAAGAACCUUACCAGGUCUUGACAUCUUGCGCUAACCUUAGAGAUAAGGCGUUCCCUUCGGGGACGCAAUGACAGGUGGUGCAUGGUCGUCGUCAGCUCGUGUCGUGAGAUGUUGGGUUAAGUCCCGCAACGAGCGCAACCCUUGUUACUAGUUGCCAGCAUUAAGUUGGGCACUCUAGUGAGACUGCCGGUGACAAACCGGAGGAAGGUGGGGACGACGUCAGAUCAUCAUGCCCCUUAUGACCUGGGCUACACACGUGCUACAAUGGACGGUACAACGAGUCGCAAGCUCGCGAGAGUAAGCUAAUCUCUUAAAGCCGUUCUCAGUUCGGACUGUAGGCUGCAACUCGCCUACACGAAGUCGGAAUCGCUAGUAAUCGCGGAUCAGCAUGCCGCGGUGAAUACGUUCCCGGGCCUUGCACUCACCGCCCGUCA